GACGAACGCUGGCGGCGUGCUUAACCCAUGUAAGUCGAACGGUGUGGCGAACGGGUGAGUAACACGUGGGUGAUCUGCCUUGCACUUCGGGAUAAGCUUGGGAAACUGGGUCUAAUACCGGAUAGUGCAAGAUGAGCUCGCGGCCUAUCGGCAUGUUGGUUGGGUAAUGGCCUCACAAGGCGUCGAAGGGUAGCCGGCCUGAGAGGGUGUACGGCCACAUUGGGACUGAGAUACGGCCCAGACACUUACGGGAGGCAGCAGUGGGGAAUAGUGCUCAAUGGGCGGAAACCUGAUGCAGCGACGCAGCGUGGGGGAUGAAGGCCUUCGGGUUGUAAACUCCUUUCGACAGGGACGCGGUACCUGAAUAAGAAGCACCGGCUAACAACGUGCCAGCCGGCGCGGUAAUAC
RNAcentral lists this ribosomal RNA (408 nucleotides) under uncultured bacterium. RNAcentral describes it as "partial 16S ribosomal RNA". It matches the Rfam family "Bacterial small subunit ribosomal RNA", at positions 28 to 526 of the family's 1533-position model. The record is from RNAcentral.